GGGGACCACAAAAAAGCUUUCAAAAAUGAAACAAAAUACAACGACGGGACCACCGCACCACCCAAAAUCACAAAAAGAACAACAAAGCCAACUUCUUUUACUGACCUGGCCACUCGAGAUUGCAGAGAAGAAGGUCCCACAACUCCCACGACGACGACAACUUCACGCUCUUUGUCAACGUCAACUUCUAUUUAACCCUAAACCCCCAAAUUGAUUCCCCAAUUUCAGAAAUGGUUUAAGUGUUUGGAUGGACGAACCCUAGAUGCACUCUCCCAAUCCCGACAACAAUUUUGGACGAACCCCCAAAUUAAUUCGAAAAUGGAACAUUCACGACAGCAAUUUUGGCUUAUGACAUUAAUUUUAGUAUUAUUUCAUUUUGUGUUUAUUUUUUCCUAAAAAUUUUUAUUAUUAUAAUUCGUUAAAAAAAUUCAAUCUGCCACGUCAUUUAAUGAACUCCAUACACUGUGCCAUGUCACAAACAGACUUAACACUGUUACCCCCAAUUUAACGGAAAGGAGCUGAUUGAUACAAUUUCUUGAUUUUUAGGACCCAAUUGAGAAAACGAAAAAAAGAGGGACUAAAUUGAGAUUCUACGCAAAAAUAGGGACUUGGUGAAUGAUUAAACCUUUUUAU
Molecule: long non-coding RNA, 633 nt
Filed under: Vigna radiata
Lineage: Eukaryota; Viridiplantae; Streptophyta; Magnoliopsida; Fabales; Fabaceae
Description: long non-coding RNA (VRAD_LNC018359)
Source: RNAcentral